UACGGAGGGAGCAAGCGUUACUCGGAAUUAUUGGGCGUAAAGGGCGCGUAGGCGAUCUGACAAGUCUGGUGUGAAAGCCCACAUGUUAACUGUGGAAGUGCAUUAGAAACUGUUGGAUUUGAGUUCAGGAGAGGAAGGCAGAAUUCCCGGUGUAGCGGUGAAAUGCGUAGAGAUCGGGAGGAAUACCAGUGGCGAAGGCGGCCUUCUGGACUGACACUGACGCUGAGGCGCGAAAGCCAGGGUAGCAAACGGG
RNAcentral lists this ribosomal RNA (253 nucleotides) under uncultured bacterium. Its description in RNAcentral is "partial 16S ribosomal RNA". It matches the Rfam family "Bacterial small subunit ribosomal RNA", at positions 524 to 776 of the family's 1533-position model. The record is from RNAcentral.